RNAcentral lists this ribosomal RNA (1517 nucleotides) under metagenome. RNAcentral describes it as "bacterial SSU rRNA". It matches the Rfam family "Bacterial small subunit ribosomal RNA". The record is from RNAcentral.
AGAGUUUGAUCCUGGCUCAGAAUGAACGCUGGCGGCGUGCUUAACACAUGCAAGUCGAACGAGAAAAAGACCUUCGGGUCUUGAGUAAAGUGGCAAACGGGUGAGUAACACGUGAGUAAUCUACCCCUUAUUUUAGAAUAACACGUUGAAAAACGUGCUAAUACUGAAUAAUACUCUAAACGGCAUCUUUUAGAAUCAAAGGUGGCCUCUGAUAUAAGCUAUCGAUGAGGGAUGAGCUCGCGCACCAUUAGCUAGUUGGCGGGGUAAAGGCCCACCAAGGUUAUGAUGGUUAGCCGGCCUGAGAGGGUGAUCGGCCACACUGGGACUGAGACACGGCCCAGACUCCUACGGGAGGCAGCAGUGGGGAAUAUUGCGCAAUGGGGGAAACCCUGACGCAGCAACGCCGCGUGGAUGAGGAAGGCCUUCGGGUUGUAAAAUCCUGUUAGGUGGGAAGAAAGCUAUAAUGGCUAAUACCCAUUGUAUUUGACGGUACCAUCGAAGAAAGCCCCGGCUAACUCCGUGCCAGCAGCCGCGGUAAUACGGAGGGGGCAAGCGUUAUUCGGAAUUACUGGGCGUAAAGGGCGCGUAGGCGGUUCUAUAAGUUAGAUGCUAAAUCCCUUGGCUUAACCAAGGUCUCGCAUUUAAUACUGUAGAACUAGAGUACAGUAGAGGAGAAUGGAAUUUCCAGUGUAGCGGUGAAAUGCGUAGAUAUUGGAAGGAACACCUGUGGCGAAGGCGAUUCUCUGGGCUGAUACUGACGCUGAGGCGCGAAAGCUAGGGUAGCAAACGGGAUUAGAUACCCCGGUAGUCCUAGCUGUAAACGAUGGACACUAGGUGUAAGAGGUAUCGAUUCCUCCUGUGCCGAAGUUAACACAUUAAGUGUCCCGCCUGGGGAGUACGUUCGCAAGAAUGAAACUCAAAGGAAUUGACGGGGGCCCGCACAAGCGGUGGAGCAUGUGGUUUAAUUCGAAGCAACGCGAAAAACCUUACCAGGGUUUGACAUAUACCUGACCGCAUUAGAGAUAAUGUUUUCUCUUCGGAGACAGGUAUACAGGUGCUGCAUGGCUGUCGUCAGCUCGUGUCGUGAGAUGUUGGGUUAAGUCCCGCAACGAGCGCAACCCUCACCCUUAGUUGCCAUCAGGUAAUGCUGGGCACUGUAAGGGAACUGCCGGUGAUAAACCGGAGGAAGGUGGGGAUGACGUCAAGUCCUCAUGGCCUUUAUAUCCUGGGCUACACACGUGCUACAAUGGUCGGUACAAAGGGUUGCCAAACCGUGAGGUCGAGCUAAUCCCAAAAAAAACCGAUCUCAGUUCGGAUUGGAGUCUGAAAUUCGACUCCAUGAAGGUGGAAUCGCUAGUAAUCGUGGAUCAGCAUGCCACGGUGAAUACGUUCCCGGGCCUUGUACACACCGCCCGUCACACCACGAAAGUUAAUUGUACCAGAAGUUGCUGAGCUAACCGCAAGGAGGCAGGUACCUAAGGUAUGAUUAGUGAUUGGGGUGAAGUCGUAACAAGGUA